UUUUUCUGUCAAAAAAUUAUUUCAUUGUUUAAACAAAAUAUAAAAAGACCCCAUGAUCCCUUUGAAUUUUAAAAUGAUACUUGUGUCCUUAUGAAAAGUCUAUAAUACAUUAGCCAUCGGAACCUCGGCCGACCGAGCCGCUUCCAACGACGACUACCUCAAUUGUAACGGCCAGUGACUUCUCCAAAGGAAACUUUCAAGAAAGCUCCGCGUUUGGAAACUUUUUCUCCGAAAUUUUCCAUCUUUUUGCAAGUACUCCCUCAGGCUCAAGAGCAAUGAACUGGGUUCAACAUAUUCUGGUGAUCGUGUUGAUGUGGUUCAUUUUCUACAAUGGAUCGCGAUACGUCACUGACUUUUGCAAGAGAAAAGGGAAAGCACUACCUGUGCAAGUCAUGGCCGGGGUUGUCAUCCUUACCAAGGAGACAACUGUUCGAGCAACAACCAUAUAAAGCUUUAUCAGCCUCAGCUACCAAGGCUGCAGGCAUCUAGGGUGAAUCCCAGAUAUGAAAUGUAGCAGUAAUGUGAAUGAUCACAAGGGAAAUGGCAAUGUGGAAUAUAUGAAUGAUAUAGUGGCAUGUCUCCCUUGAUAUAAUAUGACUUUAUUCUGUACCAUCCUUGUAAUGAUUAUGAACCAUGGUCUUAAAUUUGGCAAGGAUUCAAGAAUGUAUUCUUUCUUGUAGUGAUUGUGAAACUUGUCCGACCACUUGCAAUUAAUGGAAUUUUGCAUUUCAUGUA
Populus trichocarpa (black cottonwood) is the source of this 735-nucleotide long non-coding RNA. RefSeq lists it as uncharacterized. The transcript is spliced from 5 exons. NCBI's taxonomy places the organism in Eukaryota, Viridiplantae, Streptophyta, Magnoliopsida, Malpighiales, Salicaceae. The record is from RefSeq and is a predicted model, not a curated record.